This 348-nucleotide unclassified non-coding RNA is filed under the name soil metagenome. RNAcentral describes it as "partial contains 5.8S ribosomal RNA, internal transcribed spacer 2, and large subunit ribosomal RNA". The stretch from base 1 to 120 matches the Rfam family "5.8S ribosomal RNA", at positions 35 to 154 of the family's 154-position model. The record is from RNAcentral.
GAUGAAGAACGUAGCGAAAUGCGAUAAGUAAUGUGAAUUGCAGAAUUCAGUGAAUCAUCGAAUCUUUGAACGCACAUUGCGCCCGCCAGUAUUCUGGCGGGCAUGCCUGUCUGAGCGUCAUUUCAACCCUCAUGCCCCUAGGGCGUGGUGUUGGGGAUCGGCCAAAGCCCGCGAGGGACGGCCGGCCCCUAAAUCUAGUGGCGGACCCGUCGUGGCCUCCUCUGCGAAGUAGUGAUAUUCCGCAUCGGAGAGCGAUGAGCCCCUGCCGCUAAACCCCCAACUUUCCAAGGUUGACCUCAGAUCAGGUAGGAAUACCCGCUGAACUUAAGCAUAUCAAUAAGCGGAGGA